This 279-nucleotide ribosomal RNA is filed under the name uncultured bacterium. RNAcentral's name for it is "partial 16S ribosomal RNA". It matches the Rfam family "Bacterial small subunit ribosomal RNA", at positions 506 to 784 of the family's 1533-position model. The record is from RNAcentral.
UGCCAGCAGCCGCGGUAACACGGGGGGCGCAAGCGUUAUUCGGAAUUAUUGGGCGUAAAGGGUCUGUAGGCGGUUUAAUAAGUUGGAUGUGAAAGCCCAUGGCUUAACCAUGGAAUUGCGUUCAAAACUAUUAGACUAGAGUUUAGGAGAGGAAGAUGGAAUUCUUGGUGUAAGGGUGAAAUCUGCAGAUAUCAAGAAGAACACCAGUUGCGAAGGCGAUCUUCUGGUCUAAAACUGACGCUGAGAGACGAAAGCUAGGAUAGCGAACGGGAUUAGAUA